AUACGUAGGGUGCAAGCGUUAAUCGGAAUUACUGGGCGUAAAGCGUGCGCAGGCGGUUUUGUAAGACAGUGGUGAAAUCCCCGGGCUCAACCUGGGAACUGCCAUUGUGACUGUAAGGCUGGAGUGCGGCAGAGGGGGAUGGAAUUCCGCGUGUAGCAGUGAAAUGCGUAGAUAUGCGGAGGAACACCGAUGGCGAAGGCAAUCCCCUGGGCGUGCACUGACGCUCAGGCACGAAAGCGUGGGGAGCAAACAGGAUUAGAUACCCUGGUAGUCCACGCCCUAAACGAUGUCAACUGGUUGUUGGGGAUUUAUUUUCUCAGUAACGAAGCUAACGCGUGAAGUUGACCGCCUGGGGAGUACGGCCGCAAGGUUAAAACUCAAAGGAAUUGACGGGG
Molecule: ribosomal RNA, 395 nt
Filed under: uncultured bacterium
Lineage: Bacteria
Description: partial 16S ribosomal RNA
Rfam family: Bacterial small subunit ribosomal RNA
Source: RNAcentral